GUUUCGAAGGAUUUAUUAUAAUAAAUUUAAUGGUGCAAUCGGAAUUUAAUUUAGAUUUCCGGUUUAGGAGUUAUGACUUUUUUAAUUCGUUAAAAAUGUUUUUGCAUGCAUGAGUGAGUGGGUCCUACUUUGAUGGGAUAACCUGUCAUCCAUGCGCAGACCACAUAGAUAGGACGGGCGGAGUAAAAAAGACCACCGAAGAGGAUGAGAGUCAUGGCUUCACCACGGGUGUGGUAGACAGGUUCUCUUUGUAAUUUUUAGUUGUAGAGAAUAAGAUAAAUAUUAAUUAAUAAAAUUUUAUCUAAAUAUAUCCAUAUGUGAUCUUGUUUCGAAGGAUUUAUUAUAAGAAAUUUAAUGGUGCAAUCGAAAUUUAAUUUAGAUAUAUGGUUAGGAGUUAUGACUUUUUUUUAAUUUGUUAAAAAUGUUUAUGCAUACGUGGGUGAGUGGGUUCUACUUCGAUGGGAUAGCCUGUCAUCCAUGCGCAGACCACAUAGAUAGGACGGACGGAGUAAAAAAGACCAGAAGAAGAUGAGAGUCAUGGCUUCACCAUGGGUAUAGUAGACAUGUCCUCUUUGUAACUUUUAUUAGUUGUAGAGAUAAUAUUGAUGCAGGUUUAAGGACUCGUAUAUCUUUUUGCACGGGCCUCUCCUUUUUCCUUAACGCUGAUGAGCUCGGAUGGAUUUGAUAUUCGUUUUAGGAGCGAGUAGGACUCAUGUUUUUCUUGAGGGCAAUACUAUAAUACCCCCUUUAUCUAUAUCUAUACUUACUAAUAUUUUCUAUACCUAAUAAUAAUAAAAAGACAAAGUUUCUAUCUCUUUUAGAUUUUCGUCUAACUUAAUCACCAUGUUCGUGUUGUGUUCGCGUUCUUUUUUUCCUGUUUCCAUCUCUGUUUCUACUCCUGCUGCUUUCUAUUUUUCUCCUUCUACCCUUUGUAGGGGUUCUGUACGUGGGCGUACGUGUAGGUGAAAGUGGCACCCCCGCCCCGCAUGGUGAUUUUCCAUAACUUUUUUUGUUGUGUUGUUGUUUCCAUGUUUUUGUUUUUUGUUUUUAAUUUUCCGAUCAAGUAACUCUUCCCUAUAAAAAUAGAUAAAUAAUAAAUACAGUAUUAAGGUCUUUGAAAAUUUGAUCCUAACUUAAUAAAUAAAUAUUGCUAUUAUUAAGUUGUUAAUUUUAAAUAGAAAUAAAUUAUUAUUAUGACAUGGCUUAACUAAUUAGUAAACCGUAAGCAAAACUUGAGUAAUUUAUCAUUUAAUCUAAUCAAAACAAAUAUUUCUCCAAUCUGUCCUAACAAUGCAAAUAUCUAAAUUAUUUGUCUUUGAGUUCGCCGUCCCGAUCGCUCACGUGCUCCACGAGCUCGCCUCUGUAGCCACCUGGUUGUCCGCGAGUUCACCGUCCCAGUCGCUCGCGCGCUCCACGAGUUCACCUCCACUCCACAGUAGCCCUCUCGUCCCCUCCUGCAUCCGCCAAGUCACCACUUCGGGCACCAGCGACAGCGACUGCUGC
This 1503-nucleotide long non-coding RNA is filed under the name Sorghum bicolor (sorghum). RNAcentral describes it as "long non-coding RNA (SBIC_LNC003525)". Lineage: Eukaryota; Viridiplantae; Streptophyta; Magnoliopsida; Poales; Poaceae. The record is from RNAcentral.